AGCGAACGUUAGCGGCAGGCCUAACACAUGCAAGUCGCACGAGAAUCCGGCUUCGGUCGGUAGUAAAGUGGCGGACGGGUGAGUAACACGUGGAUAAUCUGCCCCUCGGCGGGGGACAACAGUCCGAAAGGAUUGCUAAUACCGCAUACGUCAGCGAGGUCUUCGGACCUUGUUGGGAAAGAUGGCCUCCUCAUGAAAGCUAUCACCGAAGGAUGAGUCCGCGGCCCAUCAGCUAGUUGGCGGGGUAAUGGCCCACCAAGGCUUAGACGGGUAGCUGGUCUGAGAGGAUGAUCAGCCACACUGGAACUGAGACACGGUCCAGACUCCUACGGGAGGCAGCAGUGGGGAAUAUUGGGCAAUGGGCGCAAGCCUGACCCAGCCAUGCCGCGUGAGUGAUGAAGGCC
Molecule: ribosomal RNA, 404 nt
Filed under: uncultured bacterium
Lineage: Bacteria
Description: bacterial SSU rRNA
Rfam family: Bacterial small subunit ribosomal RNA
Source: RNAcentral